UACGUAGGGGGCAAGCGUUGUCCGGAAUCAUUGGGCGUAAAGAGCGUGUAGGCGGCCCGGUAAGUCCGCUGUGAAAGUCCAGGCUCAACCCUGGGAUGCCGGUGGAUACUGUCGGGCUCGAGUCCGGAAGAGGAGUGUGGAAUUCCUGGUGUAGCGGUGAAAUGCGCAGAUAUCAGGAAGAACACCCGUGGCUAAGGCGGCUCUCUAGUACGGUACUGACGCUGAGACGCGAAAGCGUGGGGAGCGAACAGG
RNAcentral lists this ribosomal RNA (252 nucleotides) under uncultured bacterium. RNAcentral's name for it is "partial 16S ribosomal RNA". It matches the Rfam family "Bacterial small subunit ribosomal RNA", at positions 524 to 776 of the family's 1533-position model. The record is from RNAcentral.